Molecule: RNA transcript, 1064 nt
Organism: Hordeum vulgare subsp. vulgare (domesticated barley)
Lineage: Eukaryota; Viridiplantae; Streptophyta; Magnoliopsida; Poales; Poaceae
Exons: 3
Source: RefSeq, a predicted model, not a curated record
GAUUGAUUAUUACCCAUCAAAAGCGCCCGAAUAGCCUCCUUGUGCACUUCGGUUUCUUCCCCCACAAUAAAUAUUUCCUCAAUCCUCACGGUGUGGUGGCUGGAAGAGAAUCUCCCCUUGGACGCCACCUUGGGCGAUGUGAUGCGAGCAGAGCUGCGGUUCCGUCGCCGCCCAGAGAGAACAUUGAGUUGCCCAUCUAAAUCAGCUUGUGUGCACACCAUUUCUCUGCUCUGGACCCUUCUCGUGCCAGAAGCAGUCAUCCCCACCGCUGCGGUGCCCGAUCUAGAAAAUAGUUUGCGUUUCCGCGGGAGGAGCUCGGGAUGGAUAAGCUGGCGGGACGGCAAGCAGGCAUUCACGAUCGCCGCCUGUACCUCUGCUACAAGGGCCUCGAGGAGUGGUCGUCCCAGAUUGAGGCCGACAGCCUUCCCCGCCUCCUCGCUACUGCCAUCAAUCCCAUAAGCGUAACCCGAACAAGAGCGUUCAGUCGGAUCGUGAAGGACAGGUUCCAGAUCUUCUUCCAUAGUUGUCAUGAUUGGAGUUACAAUGGGUAAUGAGAAAAAUAGCUCUUGAAUCAUCAAAUUAGGUGACAAGAUAGUUCACAACAAAGGUUUCAAACUCCUUUGCCAGUGAAGCCAUGACCAGGUGGAUGAGGAGCGCUGGUUUGAUCUCUAGAUCCGCGUCCAUGGGCUUGAGAUUUGCUGCCAUGUUGCUCAUCCUGAGAAUGUGCUCUCUUAUUCCAUGACCACCGCCAGUGUAGUUCUUUGUAACAAGUUGUUUUAUCAACUGGGUGACAUAUGUCUUUGAAGAACCAGUGGACUGACUCUUUAUCUCUGUAAGCAUCUUCCCCGCGGAAGUGCACUCCCAUGCGGCACCAUCAUCACUGGCCUCUCUGACUGGCUUUGUAGGUCUAAAGGGAUGUGGUUCCUCUAGAACCUAGUCCACCUCAGCACACACAAAUGCCAUGUCUACUUUCUUCCUCCACUCAGUGUAGUUGUCACCUCUGAGUGUCGGAACAUCUUUUAGGCAAUACUACCUCUUGAGCUUGCGUUGGUUUUUCCCUUGAA